This 484-nucleotide ribosomal RNA is filed under the name uncultured bacterium. RNAcentral's name for it is "partial 16S ribosomal RNA". It matches the Rfam family "Bacterial small subunit ribosomal RNA", at positions 30 to 507 of the family's 1533-position model. The record is from RNAcentral.
AUUGAACGCCGGCGGCAGGCCUAACACAUGCAAGUCGAGCGGAUGAAGGGAGCUUGCUCCUGGAUUCAGCGGCGGACGGGUGAGUAAUGCCUAGGAAUCUGCCUGGUAGUGGGGGAUAACGUCCGGAAACGGGCGCUAAUACCGCAUACGUCCUGAGGGAGAAAGUGGGGGAUCUUCGGACCUCACGCUAUCAGAUGAGCCUAGGUCGGAUUAGCUAGUUGGUGGGGUAAAGGCCUACCAAGGCGACGAUCCGUAGCUGGUCUGAGAGGAUGAUCAGUCACACUGGAACUGAGACACGGUCCAGACUCCUACGGGAGGCAGCAGUGGGGAAUAUUGGACAAUGGGCGAAAGCCUGAUCCAGCCAUGCCGCGUGUGUGAAGAAGGUCUUCGGAUUGUAAAGCACUUUAAGUUGGGAGGAAGGGCAGUAAGUUAAUACCUUGCUGUUUUGACGUUACCAACAGAAUAAGCACCGGCUAACUUCGUG